CUCGACGUUGUCUCUGGUUCGUUCUCUCCACAACAAUGGCGACGGCGACUGCAGCUUCUUCAUCGUUGAAGCUGCUCGUUCAAGGCGAGGCAGCGAUAGGAGGAGGAGGAGAGGGUAAGCAGCAGAAGAAGAACGGCGCAGCAGAAGGAAGAAACCGCAAAGCCCUCGGCGACAUUGGCAAUCUCGUCACUGUUCGAGGCAUCGAAGGCAAGAAAAGGCUGCAAGAGUUUGAAGCCACUUUG
Molecule: long non-coding RNA, 242 nt
Organism: Eucalyptus grandis
Lineage: Eukaryota; Viridiplantae; Streptophyta; Magnoliopsida; Myrtales; Myrtaceae
Exons: 3
Source: RefSeq, a predicted model, not a curated record